ACAGGAAAACAUUACAUGGUGUGGAAAGGAAAAAACAUACACCCAUAAUGGAAUUCAGGGAUAAAAGCCAUAAUGCUUAAUACAAUAAGCUGGCUGUGUGGCGGAGAAAGACUGCGUGGGACUUUUUGCCAGCGUCAGAAUUAGUUUGGGUGCCAGGCAGAUGGAUGGAAGCGAAGAGCUCACUGGUAUGAUAAAUGAAAUUCACAUCACUCAGCUCCAGUGAGCUGGACACAGGACGGUAUGCUGGGAUGUCUGAACAAAUAAGCUUUCGAGGUUUUUAUCUGGAGUGCCUGCUGAGGGCCAAAUGCUCAAACAGACCUAUCCUGCACCUGCCACCGAAACACUUAAACAAGCAAUUAUCCCAAAGAAACUGGAUCUGUAAACCAAUCACAUUUUUAAA
Molecule: long non-coding RNA, 400 nt
Organism: Paramisgurnus dabryanus
Lineage: Eukaryota; Metazoa; Chordata; Actinopteri; Cypriniformes; Cobitidae
Source: RefSeq, a predicted model, not a curated record